ACUACUUUGGCAGAAAAGUGCAGUGGAUUUAGACUCUAUUUAUAUGGAUUUAUUAUCUAUAAGUAGUA
RNAcentral lists this transfer RNA (68 nucleotides) under Carbrunneria paramaxi. Its description in RNAcentral is "tRNA-Leu". The record is from RNAcentral. Lineage: Eukaryota; Metazoa; Arthropoda; Insecta; Blattodea; Blattellidae.